Molecule: ribosomal RNA, 407 nt
Filed under: uncultured bacterium
Lineage: Bacteria
Description: partial 16S ribosomal RNA
Rfam family: Bacterial small subunit ribosomal RNA
Source: RNAcentral
AUUGAACGCUGGCGGCAGGCCUAACACAUGCAAGUCGAGCGGAUCGGCGGACGGGUGAGUAAUGCCUAGGAAUCUGCCUGGUAGAGGGGGAUAACGUCCGGAAACAGGCGCUAAUACCGCAUACUCGCCUAUGAGCCUAGGUCGGAUUAGCUAGUUGGGGGGGAAAAGGCCUAACCAGGCGACGAUCCGUAACUGGUCUGAGAGGAUGAUCGGCCACACUUGAACUGAGACACGGUCCAUACUCCUACGGGAGGCAGCAGUGGGGAAUAUUGGACAAUGGGCGAAAGCCUGAUCCAGCCAUGCCGCGUGUGUGAAGAAGGUCUUCGGAUUGUAAAGCACUUUAAGUUGGGAGGCGUUACCAACAGAAUAAGCACCGGCUAACUUCGUGCCAGCAGCCGCGGUAAUUC